CCUACGGGGGGCUGCAGUCGAGAAUUUUUCUCAAUGGGGGAAACCCUGAAGGAGCGACGCCGCGUGGAGGAUGACGGUCUUCGGAUUGUAAACUCCUGUCAUUAGGGAACAAUUGCAUCAUAUUAACUGUGUGGUGCUUGAUAGUACCUGAAGAGGAAGAGACGGCUAACUCUGUGCCAGCAGCCGCGGUAAUACAGAGGUCUCAAGCGUUGUUCGGAUUCAUUGGGCGUAAAGGGUGCGUAGGCGGCGGGGUAAGUCUGGUGUGAAAUCUCGGG
Molecule: ribosomal RNA, 275 nt
Filed under: uncultured bacterium
Lineage: Bacteria
Description: partial 16S ribosomal RNA
Rfam family: Bacterial small subunit ribosomal RNA
Source: RNAcentral